GCUAUCUAGUGGAAUAUGAUCGUAAAACUCCACGCACUUCGGGUAUAUAUAGACGGCACUACAGGCUCCCUGGUCACCAUCAGCACCAUGAGGGUCUUAGUGGUUCUUGGGCUUGUCGCUGCUGCCGCCUUUCAGGUGGCCAGUGCAGAUGUUCAGCAGCAGAAAGACGUCCUUUAUCUCCUGAACAAAAUCUAUGGAGACAUUCAGGACGGAGACCUGCUGGCUACUGCCAAUUCCUUUGAUCCCGUUGGAAACUUAGGCAGCUACAGUGAUGGUGGUGCAGCCGUGCAAAAACUGGUGCAGGACCUUAAUGACGGCAAACUCUUGGAGCAGAAACACUGGUUCUCCCUUUUCAAUACAAGGCAUCGUAAUGAGGCACUCAUGCUUUUCGACGUCCUCAUCCACUGCAAAGACUGGGCAUCCUUUGUCGGCAAUGCAGCCUACUUCCGUCAGAAAAUGAACGAAGGAGAGUUUGUUUAUGCCUUGUAUGUUGCCGUGAUCCACUCGUCUUUGGCUGAACACGUGGUGCUCCCUCCCCUCUAUGAGGUCACACCGCACCUCUUCACCAACAGUGAAGUUAUCGAAGAAGCUUAUCGUGCCAAACAGAAGCAGACGCCUGGCAAAUUCAAGUCCUCCUUUACGGGAACCAAGAAAAAACCCUGAACAGAGAGUGGCAUAUUUCGGUGAAGAUAUCGGCUUGAAUACCCAUCACGUUACCUGGCAUAUGGAAUUCCCCUUCUUGGUGGAAUGAUGCUUACGGCCAUCAUCUGGAUCGCAAAGGAGAAAACUUCUUCUGGAUUCAUCACCAACUUACCGUCCGAUUGAUGCUGAACGUCUGUCCAAUUAUCUGGAUCCAGUAGGUGAACUCCAGUGGAACAAGCCCAUUGUAGAUGGCUUUGCUCCCCACACCACUUACAAGUAUGGAGGUCAGUUCCCUGCUCGUCCUGACAAUGUUAAAUUCGAAGAUGUGGACGAUGUUGCUCGAAUUCGAGAUAUGGUCAUCGUGGAGAGUCGAAUUCGUGAUGCCAUUGCCCAUGGCUAUAUAGUUGACAGUGAGGGCAAACACAUUGACAUCAGUAAUGAGAAAGGUUUGACAUUCUUGGUGAUAUCAUCGAAUCCUCACUGUACAGUCCCAACGUGCAGUACUAUGGAGCUUUACAUAACACUGCCCAUAUUGUACUAGGCCGUCAAGGGAUCCUCAUGGAAAGUUUGAUUUACCACCUGGUGUGCUGAACACUUCGAAACUGCCACCCGUGAUCCCAGCUUCUUCCGGCUUCACAAGUAUAUGGAUAACAUUUUCAAAGAACACAAGGACAACCUACCCCCAUACACCAAAGCCGAUUUGGAAUUCUCUGGCGUGUCUGUCACAGAGCUAGCCGUUGUAGGUGAACUGGAGACCUACUUUGAAGAUUUCGAAUACAGUCUUAUCAACGCAGUUGAUGAUGCUGAAGGAAUCCCAGAUGUGGAAAUCAGCACAUAUGUGCCUCGUCUUAACCACAAAGAGUUCACUUUUAGGAUUGAUGUAGAGAAUGGAGGUGCUGAGAGAUUGGCUACAGUUCGUAUCUUUGCCUGGCCUCAUAAAGACAACAACGGAAUCGAGUAUACAUUUGACGAAGGUCGCUGGAAUGCCAUCGAGUUGGAUAAGUUCUGGGUAUCUUUGAAGGGUGGAAAAACUUCAAUUGAACGCAAGUCCACGGAAUCUUCAGUAACUGUACCGGACGUGCCAAGCAUACAUGACCUGUUUGCAGAAGCCGAGGCAGGCGGCGCUGGCCUUGCCAAAUUCGAGAGUGCAACAGGCCUACCAAACAGGUUCCUUCUCCCCAAGGGCAACGAUAGAGGCCUGGAAUUCGACCUUGUGGUGGCGGUGACUGAUGGUGAUGCCGACUCAGCAGUGCCGAACCUUCAUGAGAAUACCGAGUACAAUCACUACGGUUCCCAUGGCGUGUACCCUGAUAAGCGUCCUCAUGGUUAUCCUUUGGACCGCAAAGUUCCAGAUGAGCGCGUGUUUGAAGAUCUUCCUAACUUUAGGCACAUCCAAGUUAAGGUCUUCAAUCAUGGUGAACACAUUCAUUAGUGAUUCAAACUUACAACUCUUCAUAUGAAUAUGUCGAUGAAUGAAUUGUUUCAAAAUAAAGAACAUAUGCAUACA
Non-coding RNA from Penaeus vannamei (Pacific white shrimp), 2149 nucleotides. The record is from RefSeq and is a predicted model, not a curated record. NCBI's taxonomy places the organism in Eukaryota, Metazoa, Arthropoda, Malacostraca, Decapoda, Penaeidae.